UUCCUUCUGCCGGGUUCGUGCUUCGCGGCUUUCAUGAUCCCCUUAUGUGAUUGAACCAGGAGGGCAAACGGUCGCUCAGUGUGCACGCCGAGCCAUCUCUUCGGAGCUCUGGAUAAUUCGGAAGCCUAAAGCGCGAUCCGCGCCCCCCACCUAGGCCUAGGCCUAGGGGUUCAUGAACACCCGCACACGGCUCACGCGGUUGGAAC
RNAcentral lists this non-coding RNA (206 nucleotides) under Labilithrix sp. RNAcentral describes it as "6S RNA". It matches the Rfam family "6S / SsrS RNA". Rfam says of the family: E. coli 6S RNA was the first non coding RNA to be sequenced, but its function was unknown until recently. The record is from RNAcentral. Lineage: Bacteria; Pseudomonadati; Myxococcota; Polyangiales; Labilitrichaceae.